This 693-nucleotide long non-coding RNA is filed under the name Homo sapiens (human). RNAcentral describes it as "HSALNT0317532". Lineage: Eukaryota; Metazoa; Chordata; Mammalia; Primates; Hominidae. The record is from RNAcentral.
AGAGGCCACACCAUCCUAGCAGUGGAGCAGGACCAGCUGGGACAGGGUCCUUCUGUGACACCUGCUGCAUCACCAGGCUGGGUGAACGGACACAAUUGCCAGAACUCACAGAAUAGAAGUAUCAGCACCGAAACCUCACAGGAAAAAUGGAUAUGAAGCUGUCAACUCAUUUUGAAAACUGCUGGCUCAGAUGACCUCAGCGAUAGGAAACCUCUAAAAGAUCAUGAAUCUAAUCAGAAACCAUGGUGGCUAUCCACGAUGGAGAGAGAGCAGCGGAGACAAAAAGUGAUUUGAUGGCCUCGCAUCCGUGAGAAGGAGCAUCAUCUGUGGACCUUCCUGGGGGUGAGGGGCAGAGAAGUGAGGCAGGCAUCAGAAAACAGGAGGGUCGAUUAAAAUCUGUACAUUGACAGUCAACCCUCAUUAUCCUCCCUCACCGAUGCCAGCACCCCACCCCUCGGGUAACCAGUGAGUAGAACACCAACAACCAACAAGCAAGCAGCUGCCUUCCAGAGAGGAGAGGAGAAGGUUUUCUCCAGAGGAAGGAAACCAUCCAGACCAAAGGCAUCACUUACUAACAUGCGGAAACCCCAUCGACUCCCCGAAGCAAAACCUCUAGACGAGCCUUUCACUAAUGAUAACACACUCAUUCUCCUUCACGUGUUACUAUUAAAUGUGAACAGUGAAGAAUCACCA